This 1664-nucleotide long non-coding RNA is filed under the name Homo sapiens (human). RNAcentral's name for it is "HSALNT0362719". The record is from RNAcentral. Lineage: Eukaryota; Metazoa; Chordata; Mammalia; Primates; Hominidae.
ACACGCACCGCGCUCAGCCAGGCUGGGCAGGGACGGAAGCGGCGGCUCUGCGGGGACCGCGAUCGACCAGGCUGCGGGGCUUGCGGAUCUGGCCGCCGCUUCCCGUCCAGGGCCGCAGUCUGCCCGUGGCCGCACGGGGGCGCGCCCGGCCGCCAGACCACGCCGCCCAGGUCGGGCUGGGAGGACUACUGUGCGCUCCUGCUCUGAGUCAGCCCGGCCUGGCUCCUCCAUGAGCAAGGGAAAGGGGAAGUGCCUGCCGCAGGGAGGGGCCUGGCCCCGGGAACCUCAGAAGAGGGAAUUUUAUUCUUACUCAUCGAAUUAUUUUUAUGCUUUGGUUUUUCACUGGGAACCUCAGGCCACUGUCUCCAGGGCUUGUAACCCUUUGGGGUCCAAUGCAUGGUGGCUGGACCCUGCUGAUGGGAACUCCAAACCUGGGAGGCGAGGGCUCUGUGCUUCCCUCACCUGGAGGAAGCUAGACCUGACCUCUUUGGUUAGACUAAGGCAGCAAACACUGGAUAGCAGUUCUUAUAACCGCAAUUUACUGACCACCUACUAUGUGCUAUUCACUUUACUCGCACUAUCUCACUGAAUCCUCAUAUUAUCCCAUUGUGGUGGGUACUGUUAGCCCAGGGUCACACAGUGGCACAGAUGGCAGAGCCAGGAUUCAAACCUGGGUGUCCUGAAGCCAGAGUAUGUGAUACCACUUCUCACGUCUAGGUCCUGAACAGCAGUGGGAGUCUGGCUUGGCGUUUCGAGUUUGUAUUCUUCUCUGGAAAUCAGCCAGUACAGGAGAAGAUUCAGGAAGGGGCAUGUGGGUACUCACUUGGGCAGAGAUAGCGACUGAGUACAGGUCUCUUAAGUCUCUGACCCUCAUCAGCCUCCCAUGGCAGCUCCAACCAUUUACUCUGUCACUUUCCCCUCUGCUGGGGCUCUUGAGAGCACACUCAGCUCUCAGGGCUGCCUCUGGUGCCUGUCCCACUUCAUGUUGCACUGUUGGCCUUCCUUAGACCGCCAACUUCUCCCUGGUGGCCCAGCUUGUCUUCUGAAGCUUUCUGUCCAUCUCACCCCACCGGGCCCAUACAACUGCCAGGACGUUCUGUUCCCUCCCUGAGUUCCAAAAUGGAAUCCCUGGGUUAGUUUCUUGGCAAAGAAAAGCUACUCAGGGAUCCUGCCCUAGGACUUCUAAAAUGCCCCCCUCCCUGUAUGCAAAAGCGCUCCAUCUUAUGCAAAGCACUUCACAAUAUGCAAAUGAUUUCACAAUAACACAGUCAGCAUUCCUGCCUCUGGAGGCUGAGCGCUCCUGGCCACCCAACAAGGGGAUGGGCAAGACCCAGCCAGAAACGUUACUUGGUGCCAAUGCACUACCCUUUCCUCCCACCUGGCCUGGAAUUCCCAUCGGAUACCUAAGGCCCGGUGGCUCACAUCUGUAAUCCCAGCACUUUGGGAGGCCUAGGAAGGAAGAUCUUUUGAGCCCAGGAGUUCCAGACCAGCCUGGGUAACAAACUGAGAACUGGUCUCUACAAAAAAAUUUAAAAUUAGUCAGGUGUAAUGGUGCGCACCUGUAGCCCCAGCUACUCAGGAGGCUGAGGUGGAAGGAUUGCUUGAACCCGGGAGGUCAAGGCUGCAGUGAGCCCUGAUCGUGCCACUGCACUCCAGUCUGGGUA